GUGGGGAAUAUUGGACAAUGGGGGCAACCCUGAUCCAGCCAUGCCGCGUGCGGGAAGAAGGCCUUCGGGUUGUAAACCGCUUUUGUCAGGGAAGAAAUCCUUUGGGUUAAUACCUCGGAGGGAUGACGGUACCUGAAGAAUAAGCACCGGCUAACUACGUGCCAGCAGCCGCGGUAAUACGUAGGGUGCGAGCGUUAAUCGGAAUUACUGGGCGUAAAGCGUGCGCAGGCGGUUUUGUAAGAUCGAUGUGAAAUCCCCGGGCUCAACCUGGGAACUGCAGUGGUGACUGCAAGGCUGGAGUGCGGCAGAGGGGGAUGGAAUUCCACGUGUAGCAGUGAAAUGCGUAGAGAUGUGGAGGAACACCGAUGGCGAAGGCAGCCCCCUGGGCCAAUACUGACGCUCAUGCACGAAAGCGUGGGGAGCAAACAGGAUUAGAUACCCGAGUAGUCC
This 450-nucleotide ribosomal RNA is filed under the name uncultured bacterium. Its description in RNAcentral is "partial 16S ribosomal RNA". It matches the Rfam family "Bacterial small subunit ribosomal RNA", at positions 354 to 796 of the family's 1533-position model. The record is from RNAcentral.